AUAGCUCAAUGGUAGAGCAUCCGGCUGUUAACCGGAGGGUUGUAGGUUCGAGCCCUACUC
This 60-nucleotide transfer RNA is filed under the name bovine gut metagenome. It matches the Rfam family "tRNA", at positions 7 to 64 of the family's 71-position model. Rfam says of the family: Transfer RNA (tRNA) molecules are approximately 80 nucleotides in length. Their secondary structure includes four short double-helical elements and three loops (D, anti-codon, and T loops). The record is from RNAcentral.